This 18-nucleotide non-coding RNA is filed under the name Rattus norvegicus (Norway rat). Lineage: Eukaryota; Metazoa; Chordata; Mammalia; Rodentia; Muridae. The record is from RNAcentral.
UAGCAAUGCCAAGAGAGG